AGACCCGAAACCCGGUGAUCUAGCCAUGGGCAGGUUGAAGGUUGGGUAACACUAACUGGAGGACCGAACCGACUAAUGUUGAAAAAUUAGCGGAUGACCUGUGGCUGGGGGUGAAAGGCCAAUCAAACCGGGAGAUAGCUGGUUCUCCCCGAAAGCUAUUUAGGUAGCGCCUCGUGAAUUCAUCUCCGGGGGUAGAGCACUGUUUCGGCUAGGGGGCCAUCCCGGCUUACCAACCCGAUGCAAACUGCGAAUACCGGAGAAUGUUAUCACGGGAGACACACGGCGGGUGCUAACGUCCGUCGUGAAGAGGGAAACAACCCAGACCGCCAGCUAAGGUCCCAAAGUCAUGGUUAAGUGGGAAACGAUGUGGGAAGGCCCAGACAGCCAGGAUGUUGGCUUAGAAGCAGCCAUCAUUUAAAGAAAGCGUAAUAGCUCACUGGUCGAGUCGGCCUGCGCGGAAGAUGUAACGGGGCUAAACCAUGCACCGAAGCUGCGGCAGCGACGCUGAUGCGUUGUUGGGUAGGGGAGCGUUCUGUAAGCCUGCGAAGGUGGCCUGUGAGGGUUGCUGGAGGUAUCAGAAGUGCGAAUGCUGACAUAAGUAACGAUAAAGCGGGUGAAAAGCCCGCUCGCCGGAAGACCAAGGGUUCCUGUCCAACGUUAAUCGGGGCAGGGUGAGUCGACCCCUAAGGCGAGGCCGAAAGGCGUAGUCGAUGGGAAACGGGUUAAUAUUCCCGUACUUGGUGUUACUGCGAAGGGGGGACGGAGAAGGCUAUGUUGGCCGGGCGACGGUUGUCCCGGUUUAAGCGUGUAGGUGUGUGUUCCAGGUAAAUCCGGUUCACUUUAACACUGAGGCGUGACGACGAGGCACUACGGUGCUGAAGCAACAAAUGCCCUGCUUCCAGGAAAAGCCUCUAAGCAUCAGGUAACAUCAAAUCGUACCCCAAACCGACACAGGUGGUCAGGUAGAGAAUACCAAGGCGCUUGAGAGAACUCGGGUGAAGGAACUAGGCAAAAUGGUGCCGUAACUUCGGGAGAAGGCACGCUGACACGUAGGUGAAGUGAUUUACUCAUGGAGCUGAAGUCAGUCGAAGAUACCAGCUGGCUGCAACUGUUUAUUAAAAACACAGCACUGUGCAAACACGAAAGUGGACGUAUACGGUGUGACGCCUGCCCGGUGCCGGAAGGUUAAUUGAUGGGGUCAGCGCAAGCGAAGCUCCUGAUCGAAGCCCCGGUAAACGGCGGCCGUAACUAUAACGGUCCUAAGGUAGCGAAAUUCCUUGUCGGGUAAGUUCCGACCUGCACGAAUGGCGUAAUGAUGGCCAGGCUGUCUCCACCCGAGACUCAGUGAAAUUGAACUCGCUGUGAAGAUGCAGUGUACCCGCGGCAAGACGGAAAGACCCCGUGAACCUUUACUAUAGCUUGACACUGAACAUUGAGCCUUGAUGUGUAGGAUAGGUGGGAGGCUUUGAAGCGUGGACGCCAGUCUGCGUGGAGCCGACCUUGAAAUACCACCCUUUAAUGUUUGAUGUUCUAACGUGGACCCGUUACCCGGGUUGCGGACAGUGUCUGGUGGGUAGUUUGACUGGGGCGGUCUCCUCCUAAAGAGUAACGGAGGAGCACGAAGGUUGGCUAAUCCUGGUCGGACAUCAGGAGGUUAGUGCAAUGGCAUAAGCCAGCUUGACUGCGAGCGUGACGGCGCGAGCAGGUGCGAAAGCAGGUCAUAGUGAUCCGGUGGUUCUGAAUGGAAGGGCCAUCGCUCAACGGAUAAAAGGUACUCCGGGGAUAACAGGCUGAUACCGCCCAAGAGUUCAUAUCGACGGCGGUGUUUGGCACCUCGAUGUCGGCUCAUCACAUCCUGGGGCUGAAGUAGGUCCCAAGGGUAUGGCUGUUCGCCAUUUAAAGUGGUACGCGAGCUGGGUUUAGAACGUCGUGAGACAGUUCGGUCCCUAUCUGCCGUGGGCGCUGGAGAACUGAGGGGGGCUGCUCCUAGUACGAGAGGACCGGAGUGGACGCAUCACUGGUGUUCGGGUUGUCAUGCCAAUGGCACUGCCCGGUAGCUAAAUGCGGAAGAGAUAAGUGCUGAAAGCAUCUAAGCACGAAACUUGCCCCGAGAUGAGUUCUCCCUGAGACUUAGAGUCUCCUGAAGGAACGUUGAAGACGACGACGUUGAUAGGCCGGGUGUGUAAGCGCAGCGAUGCGUUGAGCUAACCGGUACUAAUGAACCGUGAGGCUUAACCUUACAACGCCGAAG
Molecule: ribosomal RNA, 2251 nt
Filed under: Salmonella enterica
Lineage: Bacteria; Pseudomonadati; Pseudomonadota; Gammaproteobacteria; Enterobacterales; Enterobacteriaceae
Description: partial 23S ribosomal RNA
Rfam family: Bacterial large subunit ribosomal RNA
Source: RNAcentral